Molecule: ribosomal RNA, 441 nt
Filed under: Limnogonus recens
Lineage: Eukaryota; Metazoa; Arthropoda; Insecta; Hemiptera; Gerridae
Description: partial 16S large subunit ribosomal RNA
Source: RNAcentral
GGUCUUUAGAUUUUUAUUUAAGAUCAGGCCUGCCCAUUGAUUUGAAAAAUUAAAAGGCUGCGGUAUUUUAACUGUACGAAGGUAGCAUAAUCAUUUGUCUUUUAAUUGGAGGCUAGAAUGAAUGGUUUGAUGAGAAAUAAGCUUUCUUUUUUUAAUUAAUUUGAAUUUAAUUUUUUAGUUAAAAAGCUAAAAUUUUUUUAUAGGACGAGAAGACCCUAUAGAAGUUUACUUUAUUAAUAAUUUUUUGUUUUUUGUUGUUAAAAUAUUUUUUUAAAUUAUAUAGUUUUGUUGGGGUGACAUUAAAAUUUAUUUAACUUUUAAUUUUUAUUUCAUUAGUUUAUGUUUUUUUGAUCCAGUAUUUAUUGAUUAAAAGUUUAACUUACCUUAGGGAUAACAGCGUAAUUUUUUCGGAGAGUUCAUAUCGAUGAAUAAAGUUUGCGA